UUCCCAGUGGCACAAUUGGUAAUCGCGCAGUAUUUAUAUUGCCGAGGCUGUGAGUUCGAGCCUCACCUGGGGAA
Non-coding RNA from Nephila pilipes (giant wood spider), 74 nucleotides. NCBI's taxonomy places the organism in Eukaryota, Metazoa, Arthropoda, Arachnida, Araneae, Nephilidae. The record is from the annotation of a GenBank genome assembly.